GUCCACGCCCUAAACGAUGAAUGCUAGGUGUGGGGAGUCAUCUUCCGUGCCGCAGCUAACGCAAUAAGCAUUCCACCUGGGGAGUACGGCCGCAAGGUUGAAACUCAAAGGAAUUGACGGGAGCCCGCACAAGCAGUGGAGUAUGUGGUUUAAUUCGACGCAACGCGAAAAACCUUACCGGGGAUUGACAUCUGCGGAAGGCGACGUAACGGUCGCUGUGCCCCUUCGGGGAACCGCAAGACAGGUGGUGCAUGGUUGUCGU
Molecule: ribosomal RNA, 262 nt
Filed under: uncultured bacterium
Lineage: Bacteria
Description: partial 16S ribosomal RNA
Rfam family: Bacterial small subunit ribosomal RNA
Source: RNAcentral